Molecule: ribosomal RNA, 497 nt
Filed under: uncultured bacterium
Lineage: Bacteria
Description: partial 16S ribosomal RNA
Rfam family: Bacterial small subunit ribosomal RNA
Source: RNAcentral
GAUGAACGCUGGCGGCGUGCCUAAUACAUGCAAGUCGAGCGAACAGAUGAGGAGCUUGCUCCUCUGACGUUAGCGGCGGACGGGUGAGUAACACGUGGAUAACCUACCUAUAAGACUGGGAUAACUUCGGGAAACCGGAGCUAAUACCGGAUAAUAUAUUGAACCGCAUGGUUCAAUAGUGAAAGACGGUUUUGCUGUCACUUAUAGAUGGAUCCGCGCCGCAUUAGCUAGUUGGUAGGGUAACGGCUUACCAAGGCAACGAUGCGUAGCCGACCUGAGGGGGUGGUCGGCCACACUGGAACUGAGACGCGGGCCAGACUCCUACGGGAGGCAGCAGUAGGGAAUCUUCCGCAAUGGGCGAAAGCCUGACGGAGCAACGCCGCGUGAGUGAUGAAGGUCUUCGGAUCGUAAAACUCUGUUAUUAGGGAAGAACAAAUGUGUAAGUAACUAUGCGCGGCUUGACGGUACCUAAUCAGAAAGCCACGGCUAACUACGUG